This 304-nucleotide ribosomal RNA is filed under the name uncultured bacterium. RNAcentral's name for it is "partial 16S ribosomal RNA". It matches the Rfam family "Bacterial small subunit ribosomal RNA", at positions 506 to 807 of the family's 1533-position model. The record is from RNAcentral.
CAGCAGCAGCCGCGGGAAUACGUAGGGUGCGAGCGUUAAUCGGAAUUACUGGGCGUAAAGCGUGCGUAGGCGGUGAGUUAAGUCUGUUGUGAAAUCCCCGGGCUCAACCUGGGAAUGGCAAUGGAUACUGGCAAGCUAGAGUGUGUCAGAGGAUGGUGGAAUUCCCGGUGUAGCGGUGAAAUGCGUAGAGAUCGGGAGGAACAUCAGUGGCGAAGGCGGCCAUCUGGGACAACACUGACGCUGAGGCACGAAAGCGUGGGGAGCAAACAGGAUUAGAUACCCCCGUAGUCCCUGUCUCUUAUAC